AACGAACGCUGGCGGCAUGCUUAACACAUGCAAGUCGAACGCUCGGGCUUUGGCCCGGGAGUGGCGCACGGGUGAGUAGCGCGUGGGAACCUGCCCUCUUGUGGGGGAUAACCGAGGGAAACCUCGGCUAAUACCGCAUAAGCCGGAGAAAUCCGGGAAAGAUUUAUCGCGAGAGGAGGGGCCCGCGUCGGAUUAGCUUGUUGGUGGGUAACGGCCUACCAAGGCGAUGAUCCGUAGCUGGUCNG
This 245-nucleotide ribosomal RNA is filed under the name uncultured bacterium. Its description in RNAcentral is "partial 16S ribosomal RNA". It matches the Rfam family "Bacterial small subunit ribosomal RNA", at positions 29 to 294 of the family's 1533-position model. The record is from RNAcentral.